RNAcentral lists this ribosomal RNA (2814 nucleotides) under Staphylococcus aureus. RNAcentral's name for it is "bacterial LSU rRNA". It matches the Rfam family "Bacterial large subunit ribosomal RNA". Lineage: Bacteria; Bacillati; Bacillota; Bacilli; Caryophanales; Staphylococcaceae. The record is from RNAcentral.
AGGGCGCACGGUGGAUGCCUUGGCACUAGAAGCCGAUGAAGGACGUUACUAACGACGAUAUGCUUUGGGGAGCUGUAAGUAAGCUUUGAUCCAGAGAUUUCCGAAUGGGGAAACCCAGCAUGAGUUAUGUCAUGUUAUCGAUAUGUGAAUACAUAGCAUAUCAGAAGGCACACCCGGAGAACUGAAACAUCUUAGUACCCGGAGGAAGAGAAAGAAAAUUCGAUUCCCUUAGUAGCGGCGAGCGAAACGGGAAGAGCCCAAACCAACAAGCUUGCUUGUUGGGGUUGUAGGACACUCUAUACGGAGUUACAAAGGACGACAUUAGACGAAUCAUCUGGAAAGAUGAAUCAAAGAAGGUAAUAAUCCUGUAGUCGAAAAUGUUGUCUCUCUUGAGUGGAUCCUGAGUACGACGGAGCACGUGAAAUUCCGUCGGAAUCUGGGAGGACCAUCUCCUAAGGCUAAAUACUCUCUAGUGACCGAUAGUGAACCAGUACCGUGAGGGAAAGGUGAAAAGCACCCCGGAAGGGGAGUGAAAUAGAACCUGAAACCGUGUGCUUACAAGUAGUCAGAGCCCGUUAAUGGGUGAUGGCGUGCCUUUUGUAGAAUGAACCGGCGAGUUACGAUUUGAUGCAAGGUUAAGCAGUAAAUGUGGAGCCGUAGCGAAAGCGAGUCUGAAUAGGGCGUUUAGUAUUUGGUCGUAGACCCGAAACCAGGUGAUCUACCCUUGGUCAGGUUGAAGUUCAGGUAACACUGAAUGGAGGACCGAACCGACUUACGUUGAAAAGUGAGCGGAUGAACUGAGGGUAGCGGAGAAAUUCCAAUCGAACCUGGAGAUAGCUGGUUCUCUCCGAAAUAGCUUUAGGGCUAGCCUCAAGUGAUGAUUAUUGGAGGUAGAGCACUGUUUGGACGAGGGGCCCCUCUCGGGUUACCGAAUUCAGACAAACUCCGAAUGCCAAUUAAUUUAACUUGGGAGUCAGAACAUGGGUGAUAAGGUCCGUGUUCGAAAGGGAAACAGCCCAGACCACCAGCUAAGGUCCCAAAAUAUAUGUUAAGUGGAAAAGGAUGUGGCGUUGCCCAGACAACUAGGAUGUUGGCUUAGAAGCAGCCAUCAUUUAAAGAGUGCGUAAUAGCUCACUAGUCGAGUGACACUGCGCCGAAAAUGUACCGGGGCUAAACAUAUUACCGAAGCUGUGGAUUGUCCUUUGGACAAUGGUAGGAGAGCGUUCUAAGGGCGUUGAAGCAUGAUCGUAAGGACAUGUGGAGCGCUUAGAAGUGAGAAUGCCGGUGUGAGUAGCGAAAGACGGGUGAGAAUCCCGUCCACCGAUUGACUAAGGUUUCCAGAGGAAGGCUCGUCCGCUCUGGGUUAGUCGGGUCCUAAGCUGAGGCCGACAGGCGUAGGCGAUGGAUAACAGGUUGAUAUUCCUGUACCACCUAUAAUCGUUUUAAUCGAUGGGGGGACGCAGUAGGAUAGGCGAAGCGUGCGAUUGGAUUGCACGUCUAAGCAGUAAGGCUGAGUAUUAGGCAAAUCCGGUACUCGUUAAGGCUGAGCUGUGAUGGGGAGAAGACAUUGUGUCUUCGAGUCGUUGAUUUCACACUGCCGAGAAAAGCCUCUAGAUAGAAAAUAGGUGCCCGUACCGCAAACCGACACAGGUAGUCAAGAUGAGAAUUCUAAGGUGAGCGAGCGAACUCUCGUUAAGGAACUCGGCAAAAUGACCCCGUAACUUCGGGAGAAGGGGUGCUCUUUAGGGUUAACGCCCAGAAGAGCCGCAGUGAAUAGGCCCAAGCGACUGUUUAUCAAAAACACAGGUCUCUGCUAAACCGUAAGGUGAUGUAUAGGGGCUGACGCCUGCCCGGUGCUGGAAGGGAAGGAGGAGUGGUUAGCUUCUGCGAAGCUACGAAUCGAAGCCCCAGUAAACGGCGGCCGUAACUAUAACGGUCCUAAGGUAGCGAAAUUCCUUGUCGGGUAAGUUCCGACCCGCACGAAAGGCGUAACGAUUUGGGCACUGUCUCAACGAGAGACUCGGUGAAAUCAUAGUACCUGUGAAGAUGCAGGUUACCCGCGACAGGACGGAAAGACCCCGUGGAGCUUUACUGUAGCCUGAUAUUGAAAUUCGGCACAGCUUGUACAGGAUAGGUAGGAGCCUUUGAAACGUGAGCGCUAGCUUACGUGGAGGCGCUGGUGGGAUACUACCCUAGCUGUGUUGGCUUUCUAACCCGCACCACUUAUCGUGGUGGGAGACAGUGUCAGGCGGGCAGUUUGACUGGGGCGGUCGCCUCCUAAAAGGUAACGGAGGCGCUCAAAGGUUCCCUCAGAAUGGUUGGAAAUCAUUCAUAGAGUGUAAAGGCAUAAGGGAGCUUGACUGCGAGACCUACAAGUCGAGCAGGGUCGAAAGACGGACUUAGUGAUCCGGUGGUUCCGCAUGGAAGGGCCAUCGCUCAACGGAUAAAAGCUACCCCGGGGAUAACAGGCUUAUCUCCCCCAAGAGUUCACAUCGACGGGGAGGUUUGGCACCUCGAUGUCGGCUCAUCGCAUCCUGGGGCUGUAGUCGGUCCCAAGGGUUGGGCUGUUCGCCCAUUAAAGCGGUACGCGAGCUGGGUUCAGAACGUCGUGAGACAGUUCGGUCCCUAUCCGUCGUGGGCGUAGGAAAUUUGAGAGGAGCUGUCCUUAGUACGAGAGGACCGGGAUGGACAUACCUCUGGUGUACCAGUUGUCGUGCCAACGGCAUAGCUGGGUAGCUAUGUGUGGACGGGAUAAGUGCUGAAAGCAUCUAAGCAUGAAGCCCCCUCAAGAUGAGAUUUCCCAACUUCGGUUAU